Molecule: ribosomal RNA, 255 nt
Filed under: uncultured bacterium
Lineage: Bacteria
Description: partial 16S ribosomal RNA
Rfam family: Bacterial small subunit ribosomal RNA
Source: RNAcentral
UGGCGGACGGGUGAGUAAUGUCUGGGAAACUGCCUGAUGGAGGGGGAUAACUACUGGAAACGGUAGCUAAUACCGCAUAAUGUCGCAAGACCAAAGAGGGGGACCUUCGGGCCUCUUGCCAUCGGAUGUGCCCAGAUGGGAUUAGCUUGUUGGUGGGGUAACGGCUCACCAAGGCGACGAUCCCUAGCUGGUCUGAGAGGAUGACCAGCCACACUGGAACUGAGACACGGUCCAGACUCCUACGGGAGGCGCAUG